GAUGAACGCUGGCGGCGUGCCUAAUACAUGCAAGUCGAGCGAACAGACGAGGAGCUUGCUCCUCUGACGUUAGCGGCGGACGGGUGAGUAACACGUGGAUAGCCUACCUCUAAGACUGGGAUAACUUCGGGAAACCGGAGCUAAUACCGGAUAAUAUAUUGAACCGCAUGGUUCAAUAGUGAGAGACGCUUUUUGUUUCACUUAUAGCUGGCUCAGGGCCGCAUUAGCUGGUGGGGAAGGUAACGGCUUAGCAAGGCGGCGAUGCGUAGACGACCUGAGAGGGUGAACGGCCAGACUGGAACAGAGAAUCGGCCCAGACUCCGACGGGAGGCAGCAGUAGGGAAUCUUCCGCAAUGGGGGAAAGCCUGACGGAGCAACGCCGCGUGAGGGAUGAAGGUCUUCGGAUCGUAAAACUCUGUUAUUAGGGAAGUACAAAUGUGUAAGUAACCAUGCACGUCUUGACGGUACCGAAUCAGAAAGCCACGGCUAACUCCGUG
This 497-nucleotide ribosomal RNA is filed under the name uncultured bacterium. RNAcentral describes it as "partial 16S ribosomal RNA". It matches the Rfam family "Bacterial small subunit ribosomal RNA", at positions 28 to 507 of the family's 1533-position model. The record is from RNAcentral.